RNAcentral lists this ribosomal RNA (431 nucleotides) under uncultured bacterium. Its description in RNAcentral is "partial 16S ribosomal RNA". It matches the Rfam family "Bacterial small subunit ribosomal RNA", at positions 29 to 507 of the family's 1533-position model. The record is from RNAcentral.
AACGAACGCUGGCGGCAGGCCUAACACAUGCAAGUCGAGCGCCCUUUCGGGGGAGCGGCGGACGGGUGAGUAACGCGUGGGAAUAUGCCCUUCUCUACGGAAUAGCCUCGGGAAACUGAGAGUAAUACCGUAUACGCCCUUUGGGGGAAAGAUUUAUCGGGGAAGGAUUAGCCCGCGUUGGAUUAGGUAGUUGGUGGGGUAAUGGCCUACCAAGCCGACGAUCCAUAGCUGGUUUGAGAGGAUGAUCAGCCACACUGGGACUGAGACACGGCCCAGACUCCUACGGGAGGCAGCAGUGGGGAAUCUUAGACAAUGGGGGCAACCCUGAUCGAGCCAUGCCGUGUGAGUGAUGAAGGCCUUAGGGUUGUAAAGCUCUUUCAGCUGGGAAGAUAAUGACGGUACCAGCAGAAGAAGCCCCGGCUAACUCCGUG